AGGGAAUAAAAAGGAAAAGCAGACAGACUAACAGACAAGGAGGGAGGGAGACACAGUCAGAGGAAGAGAUAGACACACUAUUGCAGCUAUGCCCGAAGCCAAGAAGCCAGAGGCAGAGCCGGAAGGAAUUGCAGCCAAGACAGAUAAGGCUGCAGCAGCACCUGCUGAUAAGGGUGGGUGAGAACAGGGCAUGUGUGUGUGUGUGUGUUAACCUGUGUCCCUUUGUGUGUGUUUGUGUUAGUCAGUAGGGCAUAACCGACAUUACAUUGGAAUGAUGAGGGGAUGGUUAACAGUUUUCCCUCACUCAGCGAAGCCAGUGGAGGAUCAUGGUAAGGCCUCUAAGACCAAGUAGCUUUCUGUGGGGAUGAGACAGAGUGGCCAUGCAUGAUUCUCACCACCCACCAUGACAGUGUUGAUCAGACAGAACGCCAAUACACUUAACUUAGGCUUCACACGUUUAUAUUGACGCCUAUCACAAAAUCCUACUGGUUUAUGCCUGACAAAGCAGACAAUAUUCAUUUAAAUGAUAUAUUGGUCAUGAUUCUUCUGAUUCUUACUGGGGGGUUUUAUUACCUGAGAUAACAGGUCACCAAUCAGUUGGUAAGAACUACCUAUGUUAAUAUUGAGGUGAUGUUUGUUAUGUGGGAUAUUUUGGCAAGCACUGGAGUGUGUUUUUCUGGGUGCAUGUGUAUAUCUGGGCGUGCGUGUGUGUAUGGGGUGUGUGUGGUGUGGUCUGUGUGAGUGUGUCUAUUAUUUUUUAUUUUGGGUGUGUACGCUGUAAAAAAAUCAAAUCUGUUGGAUCAACGUACAUUUGUAAAACAACCAGCUGCAAUAGGAUUGUGAGUUUGCUCAACAAACUCACAACAAAAAACAAUUGUACGUUGAAUCAACAUCUUUUUGUUACAGUGUAUACAUACAUGCAUACGUGGAGGAUUGUUCAGGAAACGUUUCGGAUGUGUAUUUCCUUGUACUCAGUGUGUGAGUUUGUGUGAGUGUCUGCUACUGCAGUAUACCACCUUUAUUACACACUUACUCCACACUGAAAUCCUCUCGUUUUAGUGGCAGAGGCCCAGCCUGCUGAAGAGGGUUAGAGCUAUUCUGUUGUGUCAUUUGUGGAUGUAUUGCAUGUGGAUGUGUGCAGGUAUAGGUUUUUGUCCGUUGUUGUAUGUUUGUAUCUGUUUUUGUAUGUCUGUGUGUGUGAGCGUGUGUGUGUGUGACUGUCUGUACAUAAUGCUAUCUCCAAUAUGGACUUAAGUCCAGUACCUCCUACUGAAAUCCAUUUGUGUGUAUUAACAGAGGCCCAGCCUGCUAUAGAGGGGAAACAUUUUUGUGGCUGAAUGAAUUACUUAAAUAAGUGUAUGCAGCACGAGCACAUGGGUUGUUGUGUGUGUACACGGUAAGUUUGCAUAUAUUAUGAGAGUGCUGUAUGUGUACACCGUGCAUCAUGUCAGCUCUAUUCAACAAUGAA
This is a long non-coding RNA of Oncorhynchus tshawytscha (Chinook salmon), 1468 nucleotides long. RefSeq lists it as uncharacterized. NCBI's taxonomy places the organism in Eukaryota, Metazoa, Chordata, Actinopteri, Salmoniformes, Salmonidae. The record is from RefSeq and is a predicted model, not a curated record. The transcript is spliced from 4 exons.